Molecule: microRNA, 23 nt
Filed under: Dasypus novemcinctus (nine-banded armadillo)
Lineage: Eukaryota; Metazoa; Chordata; Mammalia; Cingulata; Dasypodidae
Also listed under: 11 other names
Description: dno-miR-628-3p
Gene: dno-miR-628-3p
Source: miRBase by way of RNAcentral
UCUAGUAAGAGUGGCAGUCGAAG